Molecule: transfer RNA, 92 nt
Filed under: Pseudomonas fluorescens
Lineage: Bacteria; Pseudomonadati; Pseudomonadota; Gammaproteobacteria; Pseudomonadales; Pseudomonadaceae
Description: tRNA-Arg
Source: RNAcentral
CAUCGAUCUACUGUAGGAGCUGCCGAAGGCUGCGAUCUUUUGCUGUCAAGGGUGCGACUUGGCCGUCAGUUGUUCGCGGCAAUAAUCGGCGA